RNAcentral lists this ribosomal RNA (483 nucleotides) under uncultured Actinomycetes bacterium. RNAcentral describes it as "uncultured actinobacterium partial 16S ribosomal RNA". It matches the Rfam family "Bacterial small subunit ribosomal RNA", at positions 368 to 865 of the family's 1533-position model. Lineage: Bacteria; Bacillati; Actinomycetota; Actinomycetes. The record is from RNAcentral.
GCAAUGGGCGAAAGCCUGACGCAGCAAUGCCGCGUGCGGGACGAAGGCCYUAKGGUCGUAAASCGCUUUCAGURGGGACGAAAAUSACGGUACCUGCAGAAGAAGCUCCGGCCAAYUACGUGCCWGCAGCCGCSGKGAUACGUAGGGAGCAAGCGUUGUCCGGAAUUACUGGGCGUAAAGGGCUCGUAGGUGGUUGAGUAAGUCRGAUGUGAAAUCUCAGGGCCCAACCCUGAGCCUGCAUUUGAUACUGCUCUGACUAGAGUCCGGUAGGGGAGUGCGGAACUCCUGGUGUAGCGGUGAAAUGCGCAGAUAUCAGGAAGAACACCGACAGCGAAGGCAGCACUCUGGGCCGGUACUGACACUGAGGAGCGAAAGCAUGGGUAGCAAACAGGAUUAGAUACCCUGGUAGUCCAUGCCGUAAACGUUGGGCACUAGGUGUGGGGAGAACUCAACUCUCUCCGCGCCGUAGCUAACGCAUUAAGU